GACGAACGCUGGCGGCGUGCUUAACACAUGCAAGUCAAGGGGGCUCCGCAAGGGGCAACCGGCGAACGGGUGCGUAACACGUGAGCGACCUGCCGUACCUGUGGGGGAUAGCCGGCCCAACGGCCGGGUAAUACCGCAUACGAUUGCUUUGGGGCAUCCUGGGGCAAGGAAAGCUGGGGGCAACCCUGGCGCAGGACGAGGGGCUCGCGGCCUAUCAGCUAGUUGGCGGGGUAAAAGCCCACCAAGGCUAUGACGGGUAGCUGGUCUGAGAGGACGACCAGCCACACUGGAACUGAGACACGGUCCAGACACCUACGGGUGGCAGCAGUCGAGAAUUUUUCUCAAUGGGGGAAACCCUGAAGGAGCGACGCCGCGUGAAGGAUGAAGGUCUUCGGAUUGUAAACUCUGUCAUUUGAGAACAAACUGCACGGAUUAACUGUCUGUGCACUGAUAGUAUCAGAAGAGGAAGAGACGGCUAACUCUGUGCCAGCAGCCGCA
Molecule: ribosomal RNA, 498 nt
Filed under: uncultured bacterium
Lineage: Bacteria
Description: bacterial SSU rRNA
Rfam family: Bacterial small subunit ribosomal RNA
Source: RNAcentral